Molecule: ribosomal RNA, 233 nt
Filed under: uncultured bacterium
Lineage: Bacteria
Description: partial 16S ribosomal RNA
Rfam family: Bacterial small subunit ribosomal RNA
Source: RNAcentral
CCGGUAGCCGUAUGCAGGGGGACGAACAGUCAGAAAUGACUGCUAAUACCGCAUAAGCACACAAUGCUGCAUGGCAUGGUGUGAAAAGAUUUAUCGGCAUACGAUGGCCCCGCGUCUGAUUAGCCAGUUGGCAGGGUAAUGGCCUACCAAAGCAACGAUCAGUAGCCGGCUUGAGAGAGUGACCGGCCACAUUGGGACUGAGACACGGCCCAGACUCCUACGGGAGGCAGCAG